This 403-nucleotide ribosomal RNA is filed under the name uncultured bacterium. RNAcentral's name for it is "partial 16S ribosomal RNA". It matches the Rfam family "Bacterial small subunit ribosomal RNA", at positions 28 to 526 of the family's 1533-position model. The record is from RNAcentral.
GACGAACGCUGGCGGCGUGCCUAAUACAUGCAAGUCGAACGCAGUGGGGACGGGUGAGUAACACGUGGGUAACCUCCCAUCAGAGGGGAUAACACUUGGAAACAGGUGCUAAACCGAUACUGAUGGAUGGAACCGCGGUGCAUUAGCUAGUUGGGGGGGUAACGGCUCACCAAGGCCACGAUGCAUCGCCGAGCGUGGAGGGAGGACGGGCACACCGGGAAUGAGACAAGGCCCAGAAUCCUACGGGAGGCAACAGUAGGGAAUCUUCGGCAAUGGGCGAAAGGCGGACCGAACAACGCCGGGUGAGUGAAGAAGGUUUUCGGGUCGGAAAACUCUGUUGUUAGAGAAGCGGUAUCUAAAGAGAAAGCCACGGCUAACUACGUGCCAGCAGCCGCGGUAAUAC